UGAGCGGUACCAGAGUGGUCAAAUGGGCCUGACUGUAAAUCAGGUGCUUUUUAGCUUCGGAGGUUCGAAUCCUCCCCGCUCAA
This 83-nucleotide transfer RNA is filed under the name Caudoviricetes sp. RNAcentral describes it as "tRNA-Tyr". It matches the Rfam family "tRNA". Rfam says of the family: Transfer RNA (tRNA) molecules are approximately 80 nucleotides in length. Their secondary structure includes four short double-helical elements and three loops (D, anti-codon, and T loops). Further hydrogen bonds mediate the characteristic L-shaped molecular structure. tRNAs have two regions of fundamental functional importance: the anti-codon, which is responsible for specific mRNA codon recognition, and the 3' end, to which the tRNAs corresponding amino acid is attached (by aminoacyl-tRNA synthetases). tRNAs cope with the degeneracy of the genetic code in two manners: having more than one tRNA (with a specific anti-codon) for a particular amino acid; and 'wobble' base-pairing, i.e. permitting non-standard base-pairing at the 3rd anti-codon position. Lineage: Duplodnaviria; Heunggongvirae; Uroviricota; Caudoviricetes. The record is from RNAcentral.